Molecule: ribosomal RNA, 467 nt
Filed under: uncultured bacterium
Lineage: Bacteria
Description: partial 16S ribosomal RNA
Rfam family: Bacterial small subunit ribosomal RNA
Source: RNAcentral
GACGAACGCUGGCGGCGUGCUUAACACAUGCAAGUCGAACGGAAAGGCCUCUUUCGGGGGGUACUCGAGUGGCGAACGGGUGAGUAACACGUGAGUAACCUGCCCUUGACUUUGGGAUAACUUCAGGAAACUGGGGCUAAUACCGGAUAGAAGCUCCUGCUGCAUGGUGGGGGUUGGAAAGUUUCGGCGGUUGGGGAUGGACUCGCGGCUUAUCAGCUUGUUGGUGGGGUAGUGGCUUACCAAGGCUUUGACGGGUAGCCGGCCUGAGAGGGUGACCGGCCACAUUGGGGCUGGGAUACGGCCCAGACUCCUACGGGAGGCAGCAGGGGGGAAUAUUGCACAAUGGGUGGGAGCCUGAUGCAGCAACGCCGGGUGCGGGAUGACGGGCUUCGGGUUGGAAACCGCUUUCGCUCAUGACGAAGCUUUGUGUGACGGUAGUGGGUAAAGAAGCACCGGCUAACUACGUG